RNAcentral lists this ribosomal RNA (543 nucleotides) under Escherichia coli. RNAcentral's name for it is "partial 23S ribosomal RNA". It matches the Rfam family "Bacterial large subunit ribosomal RNA", at positions 2400 to 2925 of the family's 2925-position model. The record is from RNAcentral. Lineage: Bacteria; Pseudomonadati; Pseudomonadota; Gammaproteobacteria; Enterobacterales; Enterobacteriaceae.
CGAAAGCAGGUCAUAGUGAUCCGGUGGUUCUGAAUGGAAGGGCCAUCGCUCAACGGAUAAAAGGUACUCCGGGGAUAACAGGCUGAUACCGCCCAAGAGUUCAUAUCGACGGCGGUGUUUGGCACCUCGAUGUCGGCUCAUCACAUCCUGGGGCUGAAGUAGGUCCCAAGGGUAUGGCUGUUCGCCAUUUAAAGUGGUACGCGAGCUGGGUUUAGAACGUCGUGAGACAGUUCGGUCCCUAUCUGCCGUGGGCGCUGGAGAACUGAGGGGGGCUGCUCCUAGUACGAGAGGACCGGAGUGGACGCAUCACUGGUGUUCGGGUUGUCAUGCCAAUGGCACUGCCCGGUAGCUAAAUGCGGAAGAGAUAAGUGCUGAAAGCAUCUAAGCACGAAACUUGCCCCGAGAUGAGUUCUCCCUGACUCCUUGAGAGUCCUGAAGGAACGUUGAAGACGACGACGUUGAUAGGCCGGGUGUGUAAGCGCAGCGAUGCGUUGAGCUAACCGGUACUAAUGAACCGUGAGGCUUAACCUUACAACGCCGAAG